This 960-nucleotide long non-coding RNA is filed under the name Coffea arabica (coffee). RNAcentral describes it as "long non-coding RNA (CARA_LNC006432)". Lineage: Eukaryota; Viridiplantae; Streptophyta; Magnoliopsida; Gentianales; Rubiaceae. The record is from RNAcentral.
AUAUUUUACAAACUCAAUUAAAUCAUUUAAGGGAUUAAUUAAUGAUUACCUUUUUAGAAUUUGCAUAACAAUUUCGUUUAAACCAUAUUACAACUAUUGGAUGACAAUAGUAAUUAACGUCAACUUAAAUAGAAACUCAAUGCACGAUAUCUAAGCCUAAGACAAGGUAAUCUAAAAUCAGUUGACAGUCAAAAUGCUUAGGUAACAUAUUUGUACUGAGAUGGAAAAUCAAAUCCGACUUUUACACAUAAAAUCUGGAUUCGACAAAAUCACAACUUCAUGUGACAAAUUGAGAAACUGGAAUAGGAUACCCCUAACUGUCCCUCUGUUGCCAUAUGUGCUGGUUCAAGGCGAAAGGAGAGUAUAAUUUCACCUCAAUAUUUUGCCCUGAUGGGAUAUUAAUUAUGGUAAAUUAAUCCCAAAUAACAUAUCAAGUCAUUUGGCGAGGCACCUAAAGUAGGCAAGAAAAACACCAUAACUUGAAAUCAAUUUGCAGUCAAUCUCCAUAAUCCCCAAGAAUGAACAAAAUUAAUCAGUCUCGACCCAAGAGGAGAGUCAUUCAACCCCUCAUCAAGAUAUGGACAGAGUCCCUCGCAAGAACAAUCGAAGAAGUAAGUAAUGGCGCAGAUUCAGCAAAUUUCUUGACUUAAUUAUGGAUCUAUAAUAGAGAUGAUCGGCUUCCAACGGGAAAGUACGACAACGGAAUUGGGGCGGCAUCGGACUUUUUCUUCAUUUUCUCUGAACCACUUUUUUGCACCUUGCUGGACUUGUUUUGACUGCUCCCAUCUUCUCCUUCGCACCCAACCCUUCUAGAAUACGAAAAGCAAGCAACAAAGGAGGACAAGAAAGCCAUGGUAAUCGUUUUUUCGCUCAAGCUCAAAGAUGAAAUUGAUGAAUUUUUAGUAGUAGCAGUACAGUGCUGCUUAAUUUCUUCAAACUGAUGUGACGAGGUCGAAUGUU